Molecule: ribosomal RNA, 175 nt
Filed under: Glomus sp. (unid)
Lineage: Eukaryota; Fungi; Glomeromycota; Glomeromycetes; Glomerales; Glomeraceae
Source: RNAcentral
CAGUCGUACCUGCGGAUAAUCAGCUUUUUGAGUGUGAUUAUGUGGUUUAUGAGGAGUUUAACCGCCUUCAUGUAUUGCAUAUUUGUGCUCUUGGGUGUACUUGCUCGUAUGGUUGGUUAACAUCAAUUUUGGUGGUCAUAAAAUGACUGGAGGAAUGUAGCUUCGAUCGUUUCCC